Molecule: ribosomal RNA, 602 nt
Filed under: uncultured Gammaproteobacteria bacterium
Lineage: Bacteria; Pseudomonadati; Pseudomonadota; Gammaproteobacteria
Description: bacterial SSU rRNA
Rfam family: Bacterial small subunit ribosomal RNA
Source: RNAcentral
AAGAUGAGCGGUUGAAGAAACAUAGCUACUUUUGAGAGAGACGGAAGGCCCCAUUAAAGCGUGGGAAACUACCUGGGAGAGGGGGACAAAAGCUGGAAACGACUGCUAAUACCGCAUACGCCCUACGGGGGAAAGGGGGGGAUCUUCGGACCUCGAGCUAUCAGAUGAGCCCGCGUGAGAAUAGCUAGCUGGAGGGGUAAUGGCCUACCAAGGCGACGAUCUCUAGCUGGUCUGAGAGGAUGAUCAGCCACACUGGGACUGAGACACGGCCCAGACUCCUACGGGAGGCAGCAGUGGGGAAUAUUGGACAAAGGGGGCAAGACUGAUCCAGCCAUGCCGCGUGUGUGAAGAAGGCCUUCGGGAUGGAAAGCACUUACAGCGAGGAGGAAAGGUUAAGUGAUAAUAACACUUAGCUGAGACGUUACUCGCAGAAGAAGCAACCGGCUAACUCCGUGCCAGAAGUCGCGGCAAUACGGAGGGAGGAAGCGCUAAACGGAAUUACUGGGCGAAAAGAGAGGCGAAUGUCGUUUGUCAAGCAAGAAGGGAAAGCCCCGGGCUCAACCUGAGAACUGCAUGUCGAAAUGGGAAGCUAGAGUACAGUA